GACGAACGUUGGCGGCGUGCUUAAUACAUGCAAGUCCACUGAAGCAGUGGUAGCAAUAUCGCUGUGGAGGUGGCGCACGGGUGAGUAACACGUAGGUAAUCUGCCUUCAGGUCUGGCAUAACUCCGGGAAACCGGGGCUAAUAGCAGAUGAUGCAGCGGCUCGACAUCGAGACAGUUGUUAAAGCUAUGGCGCCUGAAGAUGGGCCUGCGUCUGAUUAGCUAGUUGGCGGGGUAACGGCCCACCAAGGCAACGAUCAGUAGCUGGUCUGAGAGGAUGAUCAGCCACACUGGAACUGAGACACGGUCCAGACUCCUACGGGAGGCAGCAGUAAGGAAUAUUGCUCAAUGGGAGAAAUCCUGAAGCAGCAACGCAGCGUGAGGGACGAAGGGCUUUUGCUUGUAAACCUCUGUAGUGAGAGAAAAAAAUCCCAAUCUUUGGGACAUGAUGGUAUCUCAAAAGUAAGCCCCGGCUAACUACGUG
Molecule: ribosomal RNA, 481 nt
Filed under: uncultured bacterium
Lineage: Bacteria
Description: partial 16S ribosomal RNA
Rfam family: Bacterial small subunit ribosomal RNA
Source: RNAcentral